Long non-coding RNA from Folsomia candida, 1939 nucleotides. RefSeq lists it as uncharacterized. NCBI's taxonomy places the organism in Eukaryota, Metazoa, Arthropoda, Collembola, Entomobryomorpha, Isotomidae. The record is from RefSeq and is a predicted model, not a curated record. The transcript is spliced from 2 exons.
UAUUUUUUCAGGUAACUCUCAACGGUUGGGUAAAUCGAGCCGGAUACGAGGAACACAUGUACCAACCAGCGGUGUCGUGGUCGCAUGCAUGCAUGCAUUCGUUUUUGAACAUCUCUGAUCGGCCUGAAUAGUUGUCUCAACCUUGUUUUAAUUUCGGGUGAGCAAAAAUUCAGGUGAAUCUGACAUGCAUUCAAAAUCAACUAAGGAGAACAAAUCAUAUGGAGACUGGGGAGGGACUAGCUCUAGAACUGGAACAACUACAAUGAAAAUUCAAGAUACAAGGAAAAAAGUUUCUCAGUAAAGAAAGAGUUCUGAUCCGGCGCCUGAUACUUGCUGUAAUCUAAGAUUUGAUAAGAGAGCAGAUGAGCAAAGUUCAGGUGUGUGGAUUGAGCCCUAAUUUCACCUUUAAAAGAGUCCAUUCUUAAUCAUUCAUUCCGAAAAGAAAAUCUUUGUCAAGAAUUAAUGACGUUUAAUAUUCCAUGGAUUGCGGUUCUAUGAAUCAUUAUAAAUAUCACGGGAUACGUUGGGCGAAAACAAAUGCGAACCAGUUCAGCGUGUAUCAAUCUGCCCAGUACCACUUUCUACAAGAACCAAGCAAAGAAGAUGCACUUAAUCCAAUAAAAAUUAAAAACAAAGCCUGUCAAUCCAUAUGCAUUCAACCAGACAUUGUGAAUACAAUUAAACAACUUAUAUAGACCAUAAUAAUAAUGGUCCUUAUAGCUACAUAAUUGUAUUCAAACUAAUUAAAUUCGUCAGAGGUGCAAUUUUUGGACAUUAUUCCAUUUUGGUUAUGCUGCAUUUCAACUCUACAUACAUGGAAAUGGGUAAAUUUGUACCAUGUCCAAUUUUGUGGUUAGUUCCAAGGCAUUCUUGAUUAUUGCCUUAUUAGUAUCGUAAACCUUACAGUACAAAUAACCUAUCAAGUAUUUGAUAGGUUUGCAUCCCUUCGUAGGGAUCUAACUACAUCCACUUUAAAAAGUUGCAUUUAAAAUUAGGAAAGUUACUUGUUAAUGUUAUGCCGAGGUUAUAAUAAUACGCAAAUACAUAGAUAAGUCAAGUUGUUGGAUUGUCGACUUAUUUAUGCACUUCAAUUGUCAUAAAGAGGACCGAUCUGUUUUUUUGUAAAAUGGCUGCAUGUAUCAAAAAUCUUUCUUGAAUUACUUACUACUGACUGGGAAAUUCAGGCUUGCGCCUUUAUACAGUUACAGUAUUUAAAUUGUUUGGUGGAGAUUCUGAGAGUUGCCAGUAACUAAAUCUUAAAACUUGUACAGUUGCAGCCUAUAUAGAUAAGCAGCCAAAGUGGAGGGUAUUUUAUUUAUACAUCUCAUCUGGGUCUUAAUUAUAUUCAACCAUUUUUAAUAUCGAUUGCACAAUUUAUAAUAAAUUUACUAAAACUGGUGUGUGUCGUUUUGAUGAUGUACAUAGAUCCAGAAAUUUAGACAAUCUGACCUUGUAUUUUUAUUUUUCCCAUACCAAGUUGCAACUUUCUGCGAAAAUUUUCGAAAACCAACGGUGGCAUCAUCUUGCAUACAAAAAUUUGGUCUCGUGCAUUUAUCUAGUACAUACUCCACCAACGUCUGUAUUUCAGAUCAUUCUGAAUAUUCUGCACCAAACCCGACCUAUACGACCCACUGGUCAACUACUUGACCAAUGUAUCAAAAUCAUGUGCCAAUGUACCAUCAAACUCACUCAUUCAUGAAAAAUUUCAACUCGAUUGAGUAAAUUGAAAGAGAGUUAUUGCGAGCAGACUGGCGAAUCGUUCCCUGACGAGGGCUAAAAAUUUGUUAUUAUUAUUAAAAUCAAUUAGAAUAGUGAUAUGCAGUAGCAAUACACGAAUCUAUCUACUACGUAUAUAUAAACUUAUUUUAUCCUAUCCACAAUUGCAAAAAUUUAUUACACUUAUGUAUCAAGCUUAAAUAAAUACGUGGCUGAAGCAAUA